Long non-coding RNA from Strigops habroptila (Kakapo), 1572 nucleotides. RefSeq lists it as uncharacterized. Lineage: Eukaryota; Metazoa; Chordata; Aves; Psittaciformes; Psittacidae. The record is from RefSeq and is a predicted model, not a curated record. The transcript has 2 exons.
GCCACUGUUCCUCUCAUCAGCUGCAAAUGGACGAUGACUGGGAUGGAGCUAAUGCACAGGCAAGCAUCGCUGUUGGAGGUAAGGUUUCUCAACUCUUUCUUUUCACAACACUAUCAUUUCAGAAUAUGCCUCUUGUGAUAUUCAGCAGUGAGAAAAAAUGAUUGUUGAAAAAUUACAGAACAGAAUUAUUAUUUACCUGGGAGGGUUUUGUAACAAAGGCAGCAAAUUAAAAACUUCUAUUUAAUUUUCAGUUUCAGACCCCAAGAACUUGGGCGUAUUUUACUGUGGAUUUUCAAGAUUACCAGGGAAUAGAUCUUUCUGAUCCUUGAAAGCAGUUGUAACUUCCCUGUUGGUGAAGGCUCUCUCCAUGUAUAGAACUGUAAACACCUCUGACACAAAUACGAACAUUUGCAGUAUGCAACAUUUGCUCAGAGAAUUAGAGCAAACUCAGCUGUUCAAACUUUGGAUCUGAAACUGUCUGAGUAAACUGGACACUGACUGAAACCCAUACUGUCGUGGUUUAAGCACAACCAACAACUAAAGUACCAUGCAGCCACUCACUUACUCCCACCUUCUUGGUGGGAUGGGGAAGAGAACUGGGAAUAAAAAGAUAAAAACCCAUGGGUUCCAACAAGAGCAGUAUAAUUGAAAUAAAGAAUAAUAUAAUCAUAACAACAUCAAUAAUAAUAGGAAAUAGAGAGGAACAAACCCCAAAAAAGACAAGUGAUGCACAGUACAACUGCUCACCACCUGCUGACCAAUACCUAGUCCAUCCCCAAGCAAUGAUCAGUCCCUUACAGGUGACUCCCCCCAGGUUAUAUAUGGGGCAUGACGUGCUGUGGUAUGGAAUACCCCUUUGGCUAGUUCAGGUCAGCUGUCCUGGCUGCGCUCUCUCCCAGCUUCUUGUGUGCCUCCUCACUGGCAGGGCAUGAGACUCAAAAGUCCUUCAUCAGGGUAAGCACUACUGAGCAACAACGAAAACAUUGGUGUGUUAUCAGCGUCGUUCUCAGAGUAAAGCCAAAACACUGCACUGCACCAGCUACUAAGAAGAAAAUUAACUCUAUCCCUGCUGAAACCAGGACAGAUGCUUUGUGUGGGAGGUGUAGGCGACAGGAUCUGCAUGAUGAGCUUGAGCAACACUCUGAAGACAAGCUCUGAGGCCUUGAUACCGAACAAGCCUUGGGCCGAUAAGCCAGGAUGUUGAAAGACAGGAAAUGUAACAAAGAAUUUCAGUUGAAGAUCAGGGAAUGAGGCAAGAUGUGAAGCAAGAAGGCUGAACUGUCGUCACGUGAACAGCAUGUGAUCAGCAUUGUGAUUGGACUGUUGCGCACAUGUUUAACCUAUGGGAUUUUCACAGAAUCCAAUGAGAUUGAGUGUGGCAUGCUCAUGCUUGUUGGGAAAGUACCGAAUGAGGGAAUAAAAGGGCUUGAUUGUAAUAAAGCUUUGUCUCAGUAUCCUCACCGACCUGAGUCCAUAUCUCAAUACGCCACAGCUUUGUAACAUUAUCUGAUCCCGUGAGUAGAUUAUACAUUGUUUGAAUGGAGGGAGAAUAAAAAAUAUAAUUGGAACUGA